UAAAGGUUUGGUCCUAGCCUUACCAUCAAUAAAUACUAAACUUACACAUGCAAGUCUCCGCACACCCGUGAAAACCCCCUAUAUUCUCUUUACAGAAAUAGGAGCUGGCAUCAGGCCUACCGCCCAUGACACCUAGCUUCGCCACACCCCCAAGGGUACUCAGCAGUGAUAAAUCUUGAUAAUUAGCGCCAGCUAGAAUCAGUUGUAGUUUUUAGGGCCGGCCAAUACGGUGCCAGCCGCCGCGGAUACACCGAUUAAGGCCCAAGUUGAUGGUCUCCGGCGUUAAGGGUGGUUAAAGUUUUUUUAUAUUAGAGUCAAACCAAAACUAAGUCGUAAAACACUUGUUUUUAUGAAGCCCAAAAACGAAAGUUACUCUAAAUUAUUCUACUUGAACCCACGACAACUAAGAAACAAACUGGGAUCAGAUACCCCACUAUGCUUAGUAAUAAAAAAUUAACUCACACUCACACCGCCCGGGAACUACGAGCAUAAGCUUAAAACCCAAAGGACUUGACGGUGUCCCACCCAACUAGAGGAGCCUGUUUAAUAAUCGACACUACCCGAUAAACCCAACUGUUUUUUGAUAAAUCAGCCUGUAUACCUCCGUCGCAAGCUUACCAUAUGAAUGAUUUAUAGUAAGCUCAAUGGAUUUUUAACCAAAACGUCAGGUCAAGGUGCAGCCCACAUAACAGACAAAAAUGGGCUACAAUUUCUAUUUUAGAACAAACGGAAGGCCUCAUGAAAUCAGCCAAGAAGGCGGAUUUAGUAGUAAAAAGAAAAUAGAGAGUUCUUUUUAACAAGGCAAUGGGACGUGUACAAACCGCCCGUCACCCUCUUCGGCACAAUCCACCAGUUAAAUAACAAACUAAAACAAAGUAGAAGAGGCAAGUCGUAACAAGGUAAGCAUACCGGAAGGUGUGCUUGGA
This 926-nucleotide ribosomal RNA is filed under the name Callulina kreffti (Krefft's secret frog). Its description in RNAcentral is "12S ribosomal RNA". It matches the Rfam family "Bacterial small subunit ribosomal RNA". Lineage: Eukaryota; Metazoa; Chordata; Amphibia; Anura; Brevicipitidae. The record is from RNAcentral.